Molecule: long non-coding RNA, 364 nt
Organism: Cloeon dipterum
Lineage: Eukaryota; Metazoa; Arthropoda; Insecta; Ephemeroptera; Baetidae
Exons: 3
Source: RefSeq, a predicted model, not a curated record
UCGGACACAUCUGAUGGGACUGAGUCAACUGACAUCAUAGAAAUCCCUACAACCGAAAGAAUUAUCGUCUCGGCCGUCACAAAAUCGCCCACCCCCGUUGUUGGAUCAAAUUUUCCACCAGUUUUUAAGAGCACUAGUGGCACAUCUGCAUCUGCCAUUCCAACUUCGAAACAGACAACUGCAAUAUCUCCAACGGCGACUGAUGCAGCCAAAACCGUGGUUCCAACAAUCACUACGACCUCCAAAGCUCUACUAACAACUACGAGUACAACAACCACCACAAUGGCACCCAAAUCCUGUUCCAUGAUGUGCACAGACUUUGAUCAAUUUCUUUUGGGAAAACCAACAUCUAAGCCUUCAUCGG